This 483-nucleotide ribosomal RNA is filed under the name uncultured bacterium. RNAcentral's name for it is "bacterial SSU rRNA". It matches the Rfam family "Bacterial small subunit ribosomal RNA", at positions 28 to 521 of the family's 1533-position model. The record is from RNAcentral.
GAUGAACGCUAGCGGCAGGCUUAAUACAUGCAAGUCAAGGGGGUAGCAAUACAACCGGCGCACGGGUGAGUAACGCGUACACAACAUACCAUAUACUGGAGUAUAGCUUUGGGAAACUGAAGGUAAUCCUCCAUAACAUUGCGAGAGGGCAUCUGAUUGCAAUUAAAGUUUCGGCGGUAUAUGAUUGGUGUGCGUUUGAUUAGCUAGUUGGUAGGGUAACGGCCUACCAAGGCGACGAUCAAUAGCUGGCGUGAGAGCGCGACCAGCCACACUGGAACUGAGACACGGUCCAGACUCCUACGGGAGGCAGCAGUAGGGAAUAUUGGACAAUGGAGGAAACUCUGAUCCAGCCAUGCCGCGUGAUAGAUGAAGGCCCUCUGGGUUGUAAAUAUCUUUUUAUCUGGGAAGAAACACUCCUAUUCUUAGGAACUUGACGGUACCAGAGGAAUAAGCACCGGCUAACUCCGUGCCAGCAGCCGCGGU